UUGAACGCUGGCGGCAGGCCUCACACAUGCAAGUCGAGCGGAUGAAGGGAGCUUGCUCCUGGAUUCAGCGGCGGACGGGUGAGUAAUGCCUAGGAAUCUGCCUGGUAGUGGGGGAUAACGUCCGGAAACGGGCGCUAAUACCGCAUACGUCCUGAGGGAGAAAGUGGGGGAUCUUCGGACCUCACGCUAUCAGAUGAGCCUAGGUCGGAUUAGCUAGUUGGUGGGGUAAAGGCCUACCAAGGCGACGAUCCGUAACUGGUCUGAGAGGAUGAUCAGUCACACUGGAACUGAGACACGGUCCAGACUCCUACGGGAGGCAGCAGUGGGGAAUAUUGGACAAUGGGCGAAAGCCUGAUCCAGCCAUGCCGCGUGUGUGAAGAAGGUCUUCGGAUUGUAAAGCACUUUAAGUUGGGAGGAAGGGCAGUAAGUUAAUACCUUGCUGUUUUGACGUUACCAACAGAAUAAGCACCGGCUAACUUCGUG
Molecule: ribosomal RNA, 483 nt
Filed under: uncultured bacterium
Lineage: Bacteria
Description: partial 16S ribosomal RNA
Rfam family: Bacterial small subunit ribosomal RNA
Source: RNAcentral